This 442-nucleotide ribosomal RNA is filed under the name uncultured bacterium. RNAcentral describes it as "partial 16S ribosomal RNA". It matches the Rfam family "Bacterial small subunit ribosomal RNA", at positions 338 to 795 of the family's 1533-position model. The record is from RNAcentral.
CCUACGGGAGGCAGCAGUAGGGAAUCUUUCACAAUGGGCGAAAGCCUGAUGGAGCAACGCCGCGUGCAGGAUGGAGGCCUUCGGGUUGUAAACUGCUUUUAUAAGCGAGAAAUAUGAUGGUAACUUAUGAAUAAGGAUCGGCUAAACACGAGCCAGCAGCCGCGGUCAUACGUAGGAUCCGAGGAUUAUCCGGAUGGACUGGGUGUAAAGAAUUGCGUAGGUUGGAUAAUAAAUAGCUAGGGAAAUCGGGUGGCUCAACCAUUCAGACUAUUAGCUAAACUGUUAAGCUCGAGACCGUUAGGGGUAACUGGAAUUUCUAGUGUAGGAGUGAAAUCCGUAGAUAUUAGAAGGAACACCAAUAGCGUAGGCAGGUUGCUGGGACGGUUCUGACACUAAGGCACGAAAGCGUAGGGAGCAAACGGGAUUAGAUACCCUGGUAGUC